CACAAAUUAAUACAUACCAAUACGAAACAUUAACAUAUCAAACUAAUUGGAGGGAACCAGAUUUACCUUUACUAUGUUGUGUCUACCCCUGAGUCCAGGUUUCUCAGGCAUGCUCCUAGACCUCCUGUUGACUUCUAUGGCUGCCUCUUCUCUCUCCUCCUCAUCUUUGGACCACCCUUCCUGUCCUGUGUUCCCCUGGCCUGCUGUCCUGCUCCACAUGGGGUUGAUGCAGAUCUGGAAGGUGAUGGAGGAGAGGACCUGCUGCGUUUCAGACUUCAGCGGGCGGCCCCUAACUCUCAUGUCCUUGUCUCCCUCUUUCUUGUCCAGGCAGUCACACAGCACUGAGUGAAAGAUACGAGACACCUCGCCCACCUUCGGUUCCAACUCUGUCACCAGCUUCCUUGUCCUAGACAUGACAAAGAUUAUGUAUGGAGAAAAAGAGAGAGAAUGGUAAACAUCUUGCAGAGACAGAGAAUACUAAGAUACCAACUAGGAGAAGAGUAACUGGGAAUCUGAGUACUGCAGUCAUCUCUGAGGGAACAGAAGGAAGG
Long non-coding RNA from Oncorhynchus tshawytscha (Chinook salmon), 551 nucleotides. The record is from Ensembl. NCBI's taxonomy places the organism in Eukaryota, Metazoa, Chordata, Actinopteri, Salmoniformes, Salmonidae.